RNAcentral lists this long non-coding RNA (3407 nucleotides) under Malus domestica (apple). Its description in RNAcentral is "long non-coding RNA (MDOM_LNC010927)". Lineage: Eukaryota; Viridiplantae; Streptophyta; Magnoliopsida; Rosales; Rosaceae. The record is from RNAcentral.
AAAACAUUAAAUUGGCGUGAAUUUUGAGUUAAAUAAUUUUUUUUAAUUAUUUCAGCCGUUGGAUUUAAAUUUGGGCCUUUAGAUCUUUUUUAUACUAUUGGAUUUGAUCAUAUUAGAUAUCAGCUGUUAGAUUCAAUGAAAUUAUAAAGAUAAAACAAAAAAAUAAACAAAUAUGAAUCUUGACCGUUGGUUAUCCAACGGUCCAUUUGAAUUUGUGCCAUUGGAUUAAGCAAAAGAGCCGUUAGGUUUAUUUUUUAGGCCGACAAGUCGCCGGCAUGGCCACUUGGGUGGGGUUCAUCCUUUGUCGAAGCACAAAGCAAGCUCACGCGUUGAAGCGUGGGCCGCGUGCAGGGCUUGUGCGUCUGGCUUUUGCUAGCGAGUCCACGCGCACAAGUGGGCCAACUCAAUAACCAAAACUCAAAUCUUGGCCGGAUUUAACCCAAAUCUAAAAUUUGGGGCAAGGGAUGGAGUGAAAUUGUUUUUUUUUUUUUGUUGGGGGGGGGAGGAGGGGAGAAUAGAAAGCAGAUUUUGAGACUUGCUCCAAGGGUUGGAGAUGGUCUAAAAAAUAGGGUUAGAACAAUGCCGCAGUUGAUUUGCUGUGUUCAACAAUGGUUAACACUAGUAAAGCAAAAGACAAAACGGACAAAUGCUAAUAGAAGAAAGGUAAUUUGAAUAUUAUGAAAGCUUUAUCCUUUUUCCUUCUCCCUUUAUAUAUACAUAUAGAAGAUUAAUAAUACUUCAAUGAUUCUAUCUUCUACAAGAUCUUUUACAGUGAAUUGGGAAAAGAACUUGUUUGCAAAUAUUGGUCUUGUUUUUACAUCUAUGCUAGCUACAAAUAAAAUUUGAGAUCUCUUACAAAACACGAACAAUUUUAAUAGUUGAUAAAUUAGCUAGUUUAACAGAAAAUAGAAAUGGGAUCUAAAAAUCCAAAUCAGAGCACACGUUAUAUCAGAGCCAAAAAAAGUUUAUGCUCAAAUCCUCAGCAAAAUGCAAACCCUCACGGACAAGGAUUGUCUGUCCUUCAUUUUUCCACGCCCUUCCACGCCCUCCUGUGUGUGAUCACGGUUCAGCCACGUCAACAUUUUAUAUUACUAUUUAUUUUUUGUCUUAUUAUCUUUAUAAAAAAAUAAUAUAAAAUGUUAACGUGACUUAACCGUGACCACACAAAACAGGAGGGCAUAGAAGGGCAUGGAACGGAAUGGAAAAAAGGAGGGCAGACAAUCCUUGUCCAACCCUCACAUAAUGUAAUUGCUUCAAGACCACGCCAACCAAUUAAUAAAGGAUUUCCAAAUUGGGAGUCAUUGAAUACAAUUAAAGAAAUCUGUAAUUAAUUCAAAUAGCGACGAUAGUCAAAAACAGCUAAAUACACAAAUAUGAGUCAUCAAAUUAAAAAGGUAUAAUGUAAUCUUAAGUGGUAGAAUAGUCAAAGAACUUAAUCAACAAGAGACAAUCUAUGGAUAAUCUUUUGGUGUCAUAGGUUGCUAAUCUUAAGUGGUAGAAUAGUCAAAGAACUUAAUCAACAAGAGACAAUCUAUGGAUAAUCUUUUGGUGUCAUAGGUUGCUAAUCUUAAGUGGUAGAAUAGUCAAAGAACUUAAUCAACAAGAAACAAUCUAUGGAUAAUCUUUUAGUGUCAUAGGUUGCUAAUUGUUUUUUAUUCCGCUCAAAUUAUAAUACGUAAAUUUGUUUUAAAACACGUAUAAUAAUAUAUUUUGUGGCUUGUGUGUCUAGACCAAGUGUAACAAAUUUUCAAGCUUAAGACGUGUAUAACACAAAUUGGAUGAAGUAAAACACGUGUGGGCAAACUUUUGAAGUGGGAUAUUUCUUCACAUCCUCACACACAUGGUCCUUCACAUGUGGUGAAUUUUGAUGUUGACAACGAAAAUUGGGCAACAUGAGAUACGUGUUGUGUUGAGCUUAAAGGUGAGCCACCUGCAUUGAUACCUGUAUUGAUGACUUCACAAGUUUGAACUUGGAGGGGUUAUGAAGAGGUGGUCAGGGUACGUGGCUGUACUUUGUCUAAGGCGAUAAACCAGAGCUUAAUUAAUUAAGCUUAUAUUAAAAGUCAGAAAAAAUGGAGAAUUUGAAGCAGCUCUCAUCCCUUAACUUCAAAUAUAUAUGAUAAUUAUAAUGAUUUUUAUUUGAUCUAUGUAAUAGCUGAUGACAUCUUUCUUACUAAACUAACCAAUAGGUCUAAAAAUAAAUAAUAUAAGGACGAACAUUUUAAUAAAGUCAAAUCGAAUUAAUGGUCUACAUGAUAAUAGAGUAUUCGGAAGAGAUUAUGUGAUAAAAAAAUUAGGAUCUAAAUCCCGAUGAUAAAGGCUGUUAUCAAAUUUAACCUAAAGUAAGAUUUCUGUCAUAUCUCAUUUAGAUGCAAUUGUACCUCCAUGGCUCCACCUUCUCCUCCCAUCUCUCUCCAACCAUUUUUCCGUUGGUUUCCUUACCAUUAGGCAUUAGUUUCAAGAUUCACAAAAUGAAUACAUAUCUAAUGAUCAUAGAUACCUGUUGACCCUAAAAACUACCAAGCCUACGUGGCGCGCAGGCCGAAUAAUCUAUAAGCUAACUACAUCCUUCGGUGAAUGCGGGGCGUGCCAACUCGUCUGCCGAGCUCGGCCGAGGAGUAAAUUUGUUGAUGUUGGGUGCGCGGCUGACUUCUGCGUCUUGCGAUUGCGGCCGAGAAAGGAAUAUGUCUCGGCCUCUUGGGCUCUCGAACCUGAAGACAAGGUUACUAUUCUUACGAAGUUCAAUAUCAAAUUCGGCUUUCAAUAUGCCGAAUGCAAUAACUUGUAACAGCUUACUUUGCCGAGAAGGCUGAUGAGAUGACCUCGACCAAUAAGGAUUCAGAAAUCCUUCUCGACCGAGACUUGGAUAGGUAAUCAACCGUCCUUGCCGCAGUGCUGUUGAUGCCAACGGAAGAUGCUGCAAGAUCGGCUGAUUCUACGGUGAUAGAGCUAUCUAUGCCGACUUAAGAUAUCACCGGUUGCUUUCACAGUGCUGUUGAUGCCAACGGAAGAUGUGUCAGCGAAAAGAGAAAAUAAAAAUCUCAGUUGUUGAGAGAGUUUGCGCAGGGCAGUUGUGUGUUGAAUUGAAGGUCCCUUCAAUGAUGCACUGAGUCUUGUAUUUAUAAGGUUGGAUAUCUGCUAGCUUUGGCCUGACAGAUUUGUAUUUCAAUUGCACCCAAAGACUUCUUGAUGGAAUAUGCGAAUCUGAACAACAAUAGGGACUCUGCAUGCUAACCCUAUUUUAUUCCCACUUUGACUUAUAUUUAUCCCAUUAGAAGCUUUCUUAUCUCAUCAGAGCCUAGCCUUAUCCCAUCCAAAGCCAUCACUUCAAAGUCAAAGAUUCCUAAUGCAACUAUAAACCUUCUUCUUCCACCACGAAUGUCCAUAUGCAUGCAACUUCAUUAAUC